ACUACACCACCAACGCCUCGGCAGGAAAAAGAGUCUCUGGAUACCCUUAAUAGAGGGAUCAAGUAGGGUUGAGGAUCAGGACUGGAUUGGGGAGACCAAGCCUCGGGGCGAAGGUUGGAGGAAGUGGUAAAGGAGUGAGGACAGGAUGCAGGUCGAGGGAGGUGGCCUCUGUGCAUAUACAGCAUUUGCAUGGGGAGAGGGAGGAGAUCGGGACCUCCAGAGCCUGCACGAAAGGGGAGAGGGUGUCAAGGUCUGCAGCUACGAGGACGUUCUUGGGUGCGGCCACCUCCGGAAGGGGUCAGAGCCUGGUGGCCUGGGCAGCAACGGGAUGGGUGGGGAAGCCCAUCAGGGAAGGGGAGAAACUGGGAGGUGGCCUGGCCAGCGCAGGAAUCGGGGAGGGAAAGAAGGUGGAGGAGGGCCUGGGGCGGAGAGGAAACGAGGCAGGGGGCCGGAGGGACCCACAGACGGGUGCAUGGAGGCUCCGGGGUGCGGGGAGGCCAGGCGAUGGCGAGGGCAGGGUCAGGGCCGAGGCGGGGCCGGUCAAUGGCGGGUUCAGGGUCGCGGCCGGGGCGGGACGAGGCGCGCGGGCGCUGCUCACCGGGACGUGGGGCGGCGGCCGGACUGGGCAGGUCGUCCCGGGUCCAGCGGCGCCUCACGGUCGCGGCUCCAUGCCCGGGACUGCGACCCCGGAAGUGGCGGGAGCGGGGGACGACAGCCGCGGCGGACACAGGGGACCCGCCGGCUCAGGCACCUUUGACCCGGAAGUUGAGCGACCCAGGCGGCGGCCUGGGAUUGGACACCACCAGGCACGUACCAAGGCGUCCGCGGCGCUUGGGGGGGAGCCCGCGGCGCGGCGGCCUAAGGAAAAACAGCUGACCUGUUUCCGCCCGGGAUCGAACCGGGGACCUUUCGCGUGUGAGGCGAAUGUGAUAACCGCUACACUACGGAAACCGAGAGAGUCUCGUUCUGUCGCCUAGGCUCGAGUGCAGUGGUACGAUCAUCCCUCCCUGCAGCCUCCACCUCCUGGGCUCAAGCGAUCCUCCCACCUCAGCCUCCUGGGUAGCUUGGACCACAGGUGUGGACCACCACGCCUGGCUGAAUUUUAAAAAAUGCGUUUGUAGAGACGGUGCCUUAUAGCUGGGACUACAGGCGUGUGCAACCACUCCCAGCUAACUUUUGUAUUUUUUGUAGAGACUAGAGGGCCUGCACUAUGUUGCCCAGGCUGCUUUCCAGCUCCUGACCUCAACGUGAUUCGCCCGCCUGCAGCCUCCCAAAGUACUGGGAUUACAGGCAUGAGCCACCGCGCCCGACCCCAACUACACUGUAAAAGAGCUUUCUGAAAAGAAAAACUGUGUGUGUAUGUGUUUACCUUCCGAUGGAGUUUUGCUCCUGUUGCCCAGGCUAGA
Homo sapiens (human) is the source of this 1406-nucleotide long non-coding RNA. RefSeq lists it as uncharacterized. Lineage: Eukaryota; Metazoa; Chordata; Mammalia; Primates; Hominidae. The transcript has 3 exons. The record is from RefSeq and is a predicted model, not a curated record.